RNAcentral lists this ribosomal RNA (428 nucleotides) under Mugil cephalus (flathead mullet). RNAcentral's name for it is "partial 12S ribosomal RNA". The record is from RNAcentral. Lineage: Eukaryota; Metazoa; Chordata; Actinopteri; Mugiliformes; Mugilidae.
CAAAGGCUUGGUCCUAGCUUUUCUAUCAUCUCUAGCCCAGAUUACACAUGCAAGUCUCCGCUCCCCCGUGAGAAUGCCCUGCAGUUCCCCUACCCGGGAACAAGGAGCUGGUAUCAGGCACAGCCUAAUAAAGCUACCGCCCACGACACCUUGCUUAGCCACACCCCCAAGGGAUUUCAGCAGUGAUUAACCUUAAGCCAUAAGUGAAAACUUGACUUAGCCACGGCUAAUAGGGCCGGUAAAUCUCGUGCCAGCCACCGCGGUUAUACGAAAGACCCAAGCUGAUAGAUGCCGGCGUAAAGAGUGGUUAAGUAUCUUGAUAGAACUAAAGCCGAACGCCCUCAAGACCGUUAUACGUUUCCGAAGGUAUGAAGCCCAACUACGAAAGUAACUUUAACUAUAUCCGACUCCACGAAAGCUGUGAAACA